Molecule: long non-coding RNA, 623 nt
Organism: Panthera uncia (snow leopard)
Lineage: Eukaryota; Metazoa; Chordata; Mammalia; Carnivora; Felidae
Exons: 3
Source: RefSeq, a predicted model, not a curated record
AUAAAAUGAAGACUCAAAAUGAGGUUAAAUAGCCCCCUAUGGCAGCGUACCUCCCCUGCAAAGCCUUCCAGACUCCUGGGUGGAAUGAAGCUCCAGAAUCACAUCGCAUCUCGCCAACGUCAGAACAGUCACAUGGCCUGUCAAUGCUAGUUAGCAAGUCCAUAUCUCCCCAUCAGGAAUAUAAGCUCCACUGAGGCAGGAUCUUUGCUUUGUUUACUAAUAAUCAUCCCCUGCCUAGAAGAGCACCUGGUAGAGUCAGGAACUCAACUAACAUUUGCUGAACACACGAUGAAUUAAAAUAAGCAGAGUGAAAGUGGCCUAAUAUGGGCACAUGAGGACCCAACACACAAGAUUCUUGCCACUCCCAGUGAUGAAUGGAACCGGAAGAGCGAAUCAGGAGUCACGACAGUACAAGCAAUAGCUCACAGUCCUGGGCAACAGAACUAUAAAUAUUCAGGCAAGAGUACUCUAACACAGGGUUAGAGUAUCUCGGAUGAAAUCUGAACUUCUGCUUUUUAGCAAAUUCAUUCUAUCAGAACCCAGGAGUAAUCUGUGCACAACAACCCCAAGAAAAGUGUGUGCGUGGAGUAGGUUCGAUUAAAUGAAAUCAAUUUUACCACGGA